AUUGAACGCUGGCGGCAUGCCUUACACAUGCAAGUCGAACGGCAGCGGACCUUCGGGUGCCGGCGAGUGGCGAACGGGUGAGUAAUGCAUCGGAACGUGCCAUUGAGUGGGGGAUAACGUAGCGAGAGUUGCGCUAAUACCGCAUAUUCUGUGAGCAGGAAAGCAGGGGACCGCAAGGCCUUGCGCUCUUUGAGCGGCCGAUGUCAGAUUAGCUAGUUGGUGAGGUAACGGCUUACCAAGGCGACGAUCUGUAGCGGGUCUGAGAGGAUGAUCCGCCACACUGGAACUGAGACACGGUCCAGACUCCUACGGGAGGCAGCAGUGGGGAAUUUUGGACAAUGGGGGGCAACCCUGAUCCAGCCAUGCCGCGUGAGUGAAGAAGGCCUCGGUGUAACGCUUAGUCU
RNAcentral lists this ribosomal RNA (404 nucleotides) under uncultured bacterium. Its description in RNAcentral is "bacterial SSU rRNA". It matches the Rfam family "Bacterial small subunit ribosomal RNA", at positions 30 to 438 of the family's 1533-position model. The record is from RNAcentral.